AUGCAAGUCGAACGAUGAAGGGGAGCUUGCUUCCUGGAUUAGUGGCGAACGGGUGAGUAACACGUGAGUAACCUGCCCUUGACUCUGGGAUAAGCGCUGGAAACGGCGUCUAAUACCGGAUACGACCUACCCCGGCAUCGGGUGUGGRUGGAAAGUUUUUCGGUCAAGGAUGGACUCGCGGCCUAUCAGCUUGUUGGUGAGGUAAUGGCUCACCAAGGCGACGACGGGUAGCCGGCCUGAGAGGGUGACCGGCCACACUGGGACUGAGACACGGCCCAGACUCCUACGGGAGGCAGCAGUGGGGAAUAUUGCACAAUGGGCGAAAGCCUGAUGCAGCAACGCCGCGUGAGGGAUGACGGCCUUCGGGUUGUAAACCUCUUUUAGUAGGGAAGAAGGACUUCGGUUUGACGGUACCUGCAGAAAAAGCACCGGCUAACUACGUGCCAGCAGCCGCGGUAAUACGUAGGGUGCAAGCGUUGUCCGGAAUUAUUGGGCGUAAAGAGCUCGUAGGCGGUUUGUCGCGUCUGCUGUGAAAACCCGAGGCUCAACCUCGGGCCUGCAGUGGGUACGGGCAGACUAGAGUGCGGUAGGGGAGAAUGGAAUUCCUGGUGUAGCGGUGGAAUGCGCAGAUAUCAGGAGGAACACCGAUGGCGAAGGCAGUUCUCUGGGCCGUAACUGACGCUGAGGAGCGAAAGCGUGGGGAGCGAACAGGAUUAGAUACCCUGGUAGUCCACGCCGUAAACGUUGGGCGCUAGAUGUGGGGACCUUUCCACGGUUUCCGUGUCGCAGCUAACGCAUUAAGCGCCCCGCCUGGGGAGUACGGCCGCAAGGCUAAAACUCAAAGGAAUUGACGGGGGCCCGCACAAGCGGCGGAGCAUGCGGAUUAAUUCGAUGCAACGCGAAGAACCUUACCAAGGCUUGACAUAUACGAGAACGGGCCAGAAAUGGUCAACUCUUUGGACACUCGUAAACAGGUGGUGCAUGGUUGUCGUCAGCUCGUGUCGUGAGAUGUUGGGUUAAGUCCCGCAACGAGCGCAACCCUCGUUCUAUGUUGCCAGCACGUUAUGGUGGGAACUCAUAGGAGACUGCCGGGGUCAACUCGGAGGAAGGUGGGGAUGACGUCAAAUCAUCAUGCCCCUUAUGUCUUGGGCUUCACGCAUGCUACAAUGGCCGGUACAAAGGGCUGCGAUACCGUAAGGUGGAGCGAAUCCCAAAAAGCCGGUCUCAGUUCGGAUUGAGGUCUGCAACUCGACCUCAUGAAGUCGGAGUCGCUAGUAAUCGCAGAUCAGCAACGCUGCGGUGAAUACGUUCCCGGGCCUUGUACACACCGCCCGUCAAGUCAUGAAAGUCGGUAACACCCGAAGCCGGUGGCCUAACCUUUU
Molecule: ribosomal RNA, 1382 nt
Filed under: Microbacteriaceae bacterium
Lineage: Bacteria; Bacillati; Actinomycetota; Actinomycetes; Micrococcales; Microbacteriaceae
Description: bacterial SSU rRNA
Source: RNAcentral